AGUGAACGCUGGCGGUAGGCCUAACACAUGCAAGUCGAACGGCAGCACAGAGGAGCUUGCUCCUUGGGUGGCGAGUGGCGGACGGGUGAGGAAUACAUCGGAAUCUACUCUGUCGUGGGGGAUAACGUAGGGAAACUUACGCUAAUACCGCAUACGACCUACGGGUGAAAGCAGGGGACCUUCGGGCCUUGCGCGAUUGAAUGAGCCGAUGUCGGAUUAGCUAGUUGGCGGGGUAAAGGCCCACCAAGGCGACGAUCCGUAG
RNAcentral lists this ribosomal RNA (262 nucleotides) under uncultured bacterium. RNAcentral describes it as "partial 16S ribosomal RNA". It matches the Rfam family "Bacterial small subunit ribosomal RNA", at positions 29 to 286 of the family's 1533-position model. The record is from RNAcentral.